UACGGGGGGGAGCAAGCGUUGUUCGGAUUUACUGGGCGUAAAGGGCGCGUAGGCGGUCGUGACAAGUCACUUGUGAAAUCUCCGGGCUUAACUCGGAACGGUCAAGUGAUACUGUCGGACUAGAGUACAGAAGGGGGCAACUGGAAUUCUCGGUGUAGCGGUGAAAAUGCGUAGAUAUCAGGAGGAACACCGUGGCGAAGGC
RNAcentral lists this ribosomal RNA (202 nucleotides) under uncultured bacterium. Its description in RNAcentral is "partial 16S ribosomal RNA". It matches the Rfam family "Bacterial small subunit ribosomal RNA", at positions 524 to 722 of the family's 1533-position model. The record is from RNAcentral.